AACGACUCUCGACAACGGAUAUCUCGGCUCUUGCAUCGAUGAAGAACGUAGCGAAAUGCGAUACUUGGUGUGAAUUGCAGAAUCCCGUGAACCAUCGAGUCUUUGAACGCAAGUUGCGCCCGAAGCCAUUAGGCUGAGGGCACGUCUGCCUGGGUGUCACGC
Molecule: ribosomal RNA, 162 nt
Filed under: Heracleum yungningense
Lineage: Eukaryota; Viridiplantae; Streptophyta; Magnoliopsida; Apiales; Apiaceae
Also listed under: 1 other name
Description: 5.8S ribosomal RNA
Rfam family: 5.8S ribosomal RNA
About the family: 5.8S ribosomal RNA (5.8S rRNA) is a component of the large subunit of the eukaryotic ribosome. It is transcribed by RNA polymerase I as part of the 45S precursor that also contains 18S and 28S rRNA.
Source: RNAcentral